This 346-nucleotide long non-coding RNA is filed under the name Gallus gallus (chicken). RNAcentral's name for it is "long non-coding RNA NONGGAT005074". The record is from RNAcentral. Lineage: Eukaryota; Metazoa; Chordata; Aves; Galliformes; Phasianidae.
CCCUGCUCCUAAUGGAUGCUGUGUGUGUGUUCUUGCUAGAAUAUGGCUGCUCCCUCGAGGAUGACAUCGUAUCUGACACAUCCUCCAUGUUUCGAAGGGUCCUCGUGUCCCUCGCAACGGGAAACAGAGAUGAGGGAACGUAUGUGGAUGAUGCCCUUGCUCAGCAAGAUGCCCAGUGCCUGUACGAAGCGGGGGAGAAGAAAUGGGGAACCGAUGAGGUGCAGUUUAUGUCCAUCCUCUGUACACGGAACAGUUUUUGAUGUGUACGGAGGCAUUGCUAACAAGGAUAUAACAGACAGCAUUAAAUCUGAGAUGUCAGGAGACCUGGAAGAUGCUUUGCUGGCUG